CCUACGGGAGGCAGCAGUGAGGAAUAUUGGUCAAUGGGAGGAAUCCUGAACCAGCCAUGCCGCGUGCAGGACGACGGCUCUACGAGUUGUAAACUGCUUUUGUACCGGGGUAAAAUGCUCUACGAGUAGGGUUUUGAAAGUACGGUUCGAAUAAGGAUCGGCUAACUCCAUGCCAGCAGCCGCGGUAAUACGGAGGAGCCGAGCGUUAUCCGGAUUUAUUGGGUUUAAAGGGUGCGUAGGUUGUUUUAUAAGUUAGCGGUGAAAUACCGAUGCUCAACAUCGGGGCUGCCGCUGAUACUGUAGGACUAGAGAUCGGAUGCAGCAGGCGGAAUGUGUAGUGUAGCGGUGAAAUGCAUAGAUAUUACACAGAACACCGAUUGCGAAGGCAGCUUGCUAGGCCGGAUCUGACACUGAUGCACGAAAGCGUGGGGAUCGAACAGGAUUAGAUACCCCAGUAGUC
This 460-nucleotide ribosomal RNA is filed under the name uncultured bacterium. RNAcentral's name for it is "partial 16S ribosomal RNA". It matches the Rfam family "Bacterial small subunit ribosomal RNA", at positions 338 to 795 of the family's 1533-position model. The record is from RNAcentral.